This 252-nucleotide ribosomal RNA is filed under the name uncultured bacterium. RNAcentral's name for it is "partial 16S ribosomal RNA". It matches the Rfam family "Bacterial small subunit ribosomal RNA", at positions 524 to 776 of the family's 1533-position model. The record is from RNAcentral.
UACGUAGGGAGCAAGCGUUGUCCGGAAUUACUGGGUGUAAAGGGAGCGUAGGCGGGAGGAUAAGUUGAAUGUGAAAUCCACAGGCUCAACCUGUGGCUGCGUUCAAAACUGUUCUUCUUGAGUGAAGUAGAGGCAGGCGGAAUUCCUAGUGUAGCGGUGAAAUGCGUAGAUAUUAGGAGGAACACCAGUGGCGAAGGCGGCCUGCUGGGCUUUUACUGACGCUGAGGCUCGAAAGCGUGGGUAGCAAACAGG